UACGUAGGUGUCGAGCGUUGUCCGGAUUUAUUGGGCGUAAAGAGCCCGCAGGCGGCUUGGCAAGUUUGAGGUGAAAUCUCCCGGCUUAACUGGGAGGGGGCCUCGAAAACUGCCAGGCUUGAGGCAUGGAGAGGGAUGCGGAAUUCCCGGUGUAGUGGUGAAAUGCGUAGAUAUCGGGAGGAACACCAGUGGCGAAGGCGGGUCUCUGGGCAGUAACUGACGCUGAGGAGCGAAAGCGUGGGGAGCGAACAGG
Molecule: ribosomal RNA, 253 nt
Filed under: uncultured bacterium
Lineage: Bacteria
Description: partial 16S ribosomal RNA
Rfam family: Bacterial small subunit ribosomal RNA
Source: RNAcentral